This 274-nucleotide ribosomal RNA is filed under the name uncultured bacterium. RNAcentral describes it as "partial 16S ribosomal RNA". It matches the Rfam family "Bacterial small subunit ribosomal RNA", at positions 523 to 796 of the family's 1533-position model. The record is from RNAcentral.
AUACAGGGGGUGCGAGCGUUAAUCGGAAUUACUGGGCGUAAAGAGUACGUAGGCGGUUGCUUAAGUCAGAUGUGAAAGCCCCGGGCUCAACCUGGGAACUGCUUUUGAAACUGAGUGACUAGAGUUUAAGAGAGGGGAGUAGAAUUCCGGGUGUAGCGGUGAAAUGCGUAGAGAUCCGGAGGAAUACCAGUGGCGAAGGCGGCUCCCUGGCUUAAAACUGACGCUGAGGUACGAAAGCGUGGGUAGCAAACAGGAUUAGAUACCCCGGUAGUCC